This 476-nucleotide ribosomal RNA is filed under the name uncultured anaerobic ammonium-oxidizing bacterium. RNAcentral describes it as "bacterial SSU rRNA". It matches the Rfam family "Bacterial small subunit ribosomal RNA", at positions 365 to 832 of the family's 1533-position model. The record is from RNAcentral.
UUCGCAAUGCCCGAAAGGGUGACGAUGCGACGCCGCGUGAGCGAAGAAGGCCCUAGGGUUGUAAAGCUCUGUCGAGGGUUAUGAAAUAUAGAUGGGUUAAUACCCCAUUUAUUUGACAAAAGCCCAAAAGGAAGCCACGGCUAACUCUGUGCCAGCAGCCGCGGUAAUACAGAGGCGGCGAGCGUUGUUCGGUAUUAUUGGGCGUAAAGAGCACGUAGGUGGUUUUGUAAGUCAGGUGUGAAAGCCUUCUGUUCAAAGGAAGAACGGCAUCUGAAACUGCAGAUCUUGAGUGUAGGAGGGGAGAGUGGAACUUCUGGUGGAGCGGUGAAAUGCGUAGAUAUCAGAAGGAACGUCGGCGGCGAAAGCGACUCUCUGGCCUAUUACUGACACUGAGGUGCGAAAGUUAGGGGAGCAAACGGGAUUAGAUACCCCGGUAGUCCUAACCGUAAACGAUGGGCACUAAGUAGAGGGGUUUU